GACGAACGCUGGCGGCGUGCUUAACACAUGCAAGUCGAACGGAAAGGCCCUGCUUUUGUGGGGUGCUCGAGUGGCGAACGGGUGAGUAACACGUGAGUAACCUGACCUUGACUUUGGGAUAACUUCAGGAAACUGGGGCUAAUACCGGAUCGGAGCUCCUGCUGCAUGGUGGGGGUUGGAAAGUUUCGGCGGUUGGGGAUGGACUCGCGGCUUAUCAGCUUGUUGGUGGGGUGGUGGCUUACCAAGGCUUUGACGGGUAGCCGGCCUGAGAGGGUGACCGGCCACAUUGGGACUGAGAUACGGCCCAGACUCCUACGGGAGGCAGCAGUGGGGAAUAUUGCACGAUGGACGGAAGCCUGAUGCAGCAACGCCGCGUGCGGGAUGACGGCCUUCGGGUUGUAAACCGCUUUCGCCUGUGACGAAGCGUGAGUGACGGUAAUGGGUAAAGAAGCACCGGCUAACUACGUG
This 468-nucleotide ribosomal RNA is filed under the name uncultured bacterium. RNAcentral describes it as "partial 16S ribosomal RNA". It matches the Rfam family "Bacterial small subunit ribosomal RNA", at positions 28 to 507 of the family's 1533-position model. The record is from RNAcentral.